CCUACGGGAGGCUGCAGUCGAGAAUCUUCCGCAAUGGGCGAAAGCCUGACGGAGCGACACCGCGUGCAGGAUGAAGGCCCUCGGGUUGUAAACUGCUGUCACGCCAUAGGAAUGGCCUGGGGUUAAUAUCUCCAGGUUUGACCAAAGCGAAAGGAAGCACCGGCUAACUCCGUGCCAGCAGCCGCGGUAAUACGGAGGGUGCAAACGUUGUUCGGAAUCACUGGGCAUAAAGAGCACGUAGGCUGUCCAGCCAGUCAAAUGUGAAAGCCCUCGGCUCAACCGGGGAACUGCAUCUGAUACUACUGGACUCGAGGAUGGUUGGGGUGAGUGGAACUUCAGGUGGAGCGGUGAAAUGCGUAGAUAUCUGAAGGAACACCGGUGGCGAAGGCGACUCACUGGACCAAUUCUGACGCUGAGGUGCGAAAGCUAGGGGAGCGAAC
RNAcentral lists this ribosomal RNA (440 nucleotides) under uncultured bacterium. RNAcentral describes it as "bacterial SSU rRNA". It matches the Rfam family "Bacterial small subunit ribosomal RNA", at positions 338 to 773 of the family's 1533-position model. The record is from RNAcentral.